RNAcentral lists this small nuclear RNA (100 nucleotides) under Leptobrachium leishanense (Leishan spiny toad). The record is from RNAcentral. Lineage: Eukaryota; Metazoa; Chordata; Amphibia; Anura; Megophryidae.
GUGCUCGCUUCGGCAGCCCAUAUACUAAAAUUUGAACGAUACAGAGAAGAUGCCCCUGCGCAAGGAUGACACGCAAAUUCGUGAAGCGUUCCAUAUUUAA